Molecule: transfer RNA, 149 nt
Filed under: Promethearchaeota archaeon
Lineage: Archaea; Promethearchaeati; Promethearchaeota
Description: Candidatus Lokiarchaeota archaeon (microbial mat metagenome) tRNA-Leu
Rfam family: tRNA
About the family: Transfer RNA (tRNA) molecules are approximately 80 nucleotides in length.
Source: RNAcentral
GGCGGGGUUACCGAGUCUGGUCAAAUCUAUUGGUUUGAGCAAUCAAUAAGGCCAUAGGUCGCUUGAAAUAUGGGUCAAGACCGAUCAAAGGUGCUGGACUUAAGAUCCAGUGGCAAAGGCCUUCGUGGGUUCGAAUCCCAUCCCCGCCA